UACGUAGGGUGCAAGCGUUAAUCGGAAUUACUGGGCGUAAGGCGUGCGCAGGCGGUUGUGUAAGACAGAUGUGAAAUCCCCGGGCUCAACCUGGGAACUGCAUUUGUGACUGCACAGCUGGAGUGCGGCAGAGGGGGAUGGAAUUCCGCGUGUAGCAGUGAAAUGCGUAGAUAUGCGGAGGAACACCGAUGGCGAAGGCAAUCCCCUGGGCCUGCACUGACGCUCAUGCACGAAAGCGUGGGGAGCAAACAGG
This 253-nucleotide ribosomal RNA is filed under the name uncultured bacterium. RNAcentral describes it as "partial 16S ribosomal RNA". It matches the Rfam family "Bacterial small subunit ribosomal RNA", at positions 524 to 776 of the family's 1533-position model. The record is from RNAcentral.